Molecule: ribosomal RNA, 253 nt
Filed under: uncultured bacterium
Lineage: Bacteria
Description: partial 16S ribosomal RNA
Rfam family: Bacterial small subunit ribosomal RNA
Source: RNAcentral
UACGAAGGGGGCUAGCGUUGCUCGGAAUCACUGGGCGUAAAGGGUGCGUAGGCGGAUAGGUAAGUCCGUGGUGAAAUCCUGCAGCUUAACUGCAGAACUGCCAUGGAUACUAUUUAUCUUGAAUAUCGUGGAGGUUAGCGGAAUAUGUCAUGUAGCGGUGAAAUGCUUAGAUAUGACAUAGAACACCCAUUGCGAAGGCAGCUAACUACGCGAUAAUUGACGCUGAUGCACGAAAGCGUGGGGAUCAAACAGG